UACGUAGGGUGCAAGCGUUGUCCGGAAUUAUUGGGCGUAAAGAGCUCGUAGGCGGUUUGUUGCGUCGGCUGUGAAAUCCCGAGGCUCAACCUCGGGUCUGCAGUCGAUACGAGCAAACUAGAGUGUUGCAGGGGAGACUGGAAUUCCUGGUGUAGCGGUGAAAUGCGCAGAUAUCAGGAAGAACACCCGUGGCGAAGGCGGCUCUCUGGGACGGUACUGACGCUGAGACGCGAAAGCGUGGGGAGCGAACAGG
RNAcentral lists this ribosomal RNA (253 nucleotides) under uncultured bacterium. Its description in RNAcentral is "partial 16S ribosomal RNA". It matches the Rfam family "Bacterial small subunit ribosomal RNA", at positions 524 to 776 of the family's 1533-position model. The record is from RNAcentral.